RNAcentral lists this ribosomal RNA (236 nucleotides) under uncultured bacterium. RNAcentral describes it as "partial 16S ribosomal RNA". It matches the Rfam family "Bacterial small subunit ribosomal RNA", at positions 112 to 334 of the family's 1533-position model. The record is from RNAcentral.
AACACGUGGAUAAUCUACCCGACAGUCAGGGAUAACAUUUCGAAAGGAAUGCUAAUACCUGAUAAGCCUACGCCCUCUUCGGAGGAAGUAGGAAAAGGUGGGGACCUUCGGGCCUGCCGUUGUCGGAUGAGUCCGCGGCCCAUUAGCUAGUUGGUAGGGUAAUGGCCUACCAAGGCUACGAUGGGUAGCUGGUCUGAGAGGAUGAUCAGCCACACUGGAACUGAGACACGGUCCAG